RNAcentral lists this ribosomal RNA (310 nucleotides) under uncultured bacterium. Its description in RNAcentral is "bacterial SSU rRNA". It matches the Rfam family "Bacterial small subunit ribosomal RNA", at positions 772 to 1079 of the family's 1533-position model. The record is from RNAcentral.
ACUCAAUAGAUACCCGGGUAGUCCACGCCCUAAACGAUGUCUACUAGUUGUCGGGUCUUAAUUGACUUGGUAAACGCAGCUAAACGCGUGAAGUAGACCGCCUGGGGAGUACGGUCGCAAGAUUAAAACUCAAAGGAAUUGACGGGGACCCGCACAAGCGGUGGAUGAUGUGGAUUAAUUCGAUGCAACGCGAAAAACCUUACCUACCCUUGACAUGGAUGGAAUCCCUGAGAGAUUGGGGAGUGCCCGAAAGGGAACCAUUACACAGGUGCUGCAUGGCUGUCGUCAGCUCGUGUCGUGAGAUGUUGGG